AUCCAGCUAAAGAGUUUCAAAUAGGACGAAACGCGCGUUCUGGAU
Schistosoma haematobium is the source of this 45-nucleotide non-coding RNA. The record is from Rfam. Lineage: Eukaryota; Metazoa; Platyhelminthes; Trematoda; Strigeidida; Schistosomatidae.